Molecule: ribosomal RNA, 669 nt
Filed under: uncultured bacterium
Lineage: Bacteria
Description: bacterial SSU rRNA
Rfam family: Bacterial small subunit ribosomal RNA
Source: RNAcentral
AUGCAGUCGAGGGGCAGCACGGUGUAGCAAUACAUUGGUGGCGACCGGCGCACGGGUGAGUAACGCGUAUGCAACCUACCUAUCAGAGGGGAAUAACCCGGCGAAAGUCGGACUAAUACCGCAUAAAACAGGGGUUCCACAUGGAAAUAUUUGUUAAAGAAUUAUCGCUGAUAGAUGGGCAUGCGUUCCAUUAGAUAGUUGGUGAGGUAACGGCUCACCAAGUCUACGAUGGAUAGGGGUUCUGAGAGGAAGGUCCCCCACACUGGUACUGAGACACGGACCAGACUCCUACGGGAGGCAGCAGUGAGGAAUAUUGGUCAAUGGGCGAGAGCCUGAACCAGCCAAGUCGCGUGAAGGAUGAAGGAUCUAUGGUUUGUAAACUUCUUUUAUAUGGGAAUAAAGUGAGGAACGUGUUCCUUUUUGUAUGUACCAUAUGAAUAAGCAUCGGCUAACUCCGUGCCAGCAGCCGCGGUAAUACGGAGGAUGCGAGCGUUAUCCGGAUUUAUUGGGUUUAAAGGGUGCGUAGGUGGUUAAUUAAGUCAGCGGUGAAAGUUUGUGGCUCAACCAUAAAAUUGCCGUUGAAACUGGUUGACUUGAGUAUAUUUGAGGUAGGCGGAAUGCGUGGUGUAGCGGUGAAAUGCAUAGAUAUCACGCAGAACUCCGAUUGCG